ACGGGGUGCAGCAGGCGCGAAACCUUUCGCAAUGCGCGAAAGCGCGACGAGGUUAUUCUGAGUGAUUCCCCGUUGAGGAAAUCUUUUCCUAGAUCUAAAUAGUCUGGGGAAUAAGGGGAGGGCAAGUCUGGUGUCAGCCGCCGCGGUAAUACCAGCUCCUCGAGUGGUCAGGGCGUUUAUUGGGCCUAAAGCAUCCGUAGCCUGCUCAGUAGGUCUCCUGUUAAAUCCAACGGCUCAACCGUUGGCCUGCAGGAGAUACCGCUGGGCUAGGAGGCGGGAGAGGCGGACGGUACUCCGAGGGUAGGGGUAAAAUCCUUUGAUCCCCGGAAGACCACCAGUGGCGAAGGCGGUCCGCCAGAACGCGCUCGACGGUGAGGGAUGAAAGCUGGGGGAGCGAACCGGAUUAGAUACCCGGGUAGUCCCAGCUGUAAACGAUGCGAGCUAGGUGACACGACGCCUUCGGGGCGUCGUGGUGCCGCAGGGAAGCCGUUAAGCUCGCCGCCUGGGGAGUACGGACGCAAGUCUGAAACUUAAAGGAAUUGGCGGGGGAGCAC
RNAcentral lists this ribosomal RNA (554 nucleotides) under uncultured archaeon. Its description in RNAcentral is "bacterial SSU rRNA". It matches the Rfam family "Archaeal small subunit ribosomal RNA", at positions 325 to 879 of the family's 1478-position model. The record is from RNAcentral.